RNAcentral lists this transfer RNA (72 nucleotides) under Capra hircus (goat). It matches the Rfam family "tRNA". From Rfam's summary of the family: Transfer RNA (tRNA) molecules are approximately 80 nucleotides in length. Their secondary structure includes four short double-helical elements and three loops (D, anti-codon, and T loops). RNAcentral also lists the same sequence under 3 other names. The record is from Rfam by way of RNAcentral. Lineage: Eukaryota; Metazoa; Chordata; Mammalia; Artiodactyla; Bovidae.
UCCCUGGUGGCUCAGAGGUUAAAGCGUCUGCCUGCAGUGCAGGAGACCUGGGUUUGAUCCCUGGGUCGGGAA